This 1232-nucleotide ribosomal RNA is filed under the name metagenome. Its description in RNAcentral is "bacterial LSU rRNA". It matches the Rfam family "Bacterial large subunit ribosomal RNA", at positions 1564 to 2804 of the family's 2925-position model. The record is from RNAcentral.
UGAAUACGAGACGCUAAGGCGUUGAAGUAGUGUAUGUCAUACUUCCAAGAAAAGCUUGCACUGUCAUAGAUAAAAAACGCCUGUACCAUAACCGACACAGGUGGGUAGGUAGAGUAUACUAAGGGGCGCGAGAUAACUCUCUCUAAGGAACUCGGCAAAAUAACUCCGUAACUUCGGGAGAAGGAGUGCCUUAUUUAUAAGGCUGCAAUAACAAGAUCCAAGCAACUGUUUAUCAAAAACACAGGUCUCCGCUAAGUCGUAAGACGAUGUAUGGGGGCUGACGCCUGCCCAGUGCCAGAAGGUUAAAGAAGUUGGUUAGCAAUAGCGAAGCUGAUAACUGAAGCCCUGGUGAACGGCGGCCGUAACGAUAACGGUCCUAAGGUAGCGAAAUUCCUUGUCGGGUAAGUUCCGACCCGCACGAAAGGCGUAAUGAUUUGGAUACUGUCUCGGAGAGGGGCUCGGUGAAAUAGACUUGUCUGUGAAGAUGCGGACUACCUGCACCAGGACAGAAAGACCCUAUGAAGCUUUACUGUAACUUGAAAUUGAAAUUGGACUUUAUUCGCGCAGUAUAGGUGGGAGGCGUUGAUUGUAAUCUUGCGGGAUUAUUGGAGCCAUCAGUGAGAUACCACCCUUGUAAUGUUAGAUUUUCUAACUUUGAAUCAUUAUCUGGUCAAAGAACAGUUUCAGGCGGGCAGUUUGACUGGGGCGGUCGCCUCCUAAACGGUAACGGAGGCGUACAAAGGUUUCCUCUGAACGGUUAGAAAUCGUAUCUAGAGUGUAAAGGCAUAAGGAAGCUUGACUGUGAGACCUACAAGUCGAGCAGGGACGAAAGUCGGUCUUAGUGAUCUGACGGUACUGAGUGGAAAGGCCGUCACUCAACGGAUAAAAGUUACUCUAAGGAUAACAGGCUGAUCUCCCCCAAGAGUUCACAUCGACGGGGAGGUUUGGCACCUCGAUGUCGGCUCAUCGCAUCCUGGGGCGGUAGUACGUCCCAAGGGUUGGGCUGUUCGCCCAUGAAAGCGGUACGCGAGCUGGGUUCAGAACGUCGUGAGACAGUUCGGUCCAUAUCCGGUGUAGGCGUUAGAAUAUUGAGAGGAGCCUUCUUUAGUACGAGAGGACCGAGAAGGACAUACCUCUGGUGUACCAGUUAUCGUGCCAACGGUAAACGCUGGGUAGCUAUGUAUGGAGUGGAUAACCGCUGAAAGCAUCUAAGUGGGAAGCCCACCUCAAGA